GUAUAGGAAGAGAAAGGGUGCAGGACUCCAAACUGGAGAGCGAGAUUGCUCAAGCAAUUAAUGAGACUGGACCAUCCUAUGGAAGAAGAAUGAUGACUGGCUACCUGUCCUCCAAAGGUAUCGGAGCAUCUGAGGGGCGCGUUGGUAGUGUCCUCAGACAUAUUAACAGGCCAUAUCAUGCAGAUCGUCAUCAGAGAUCAAGGAACUUAAAUCCAGUGCCAUACAGCGCCGAGUGCAUGGGUCACAAACUGCACUUAGAUCAAUAU
Long non-coding RNA from Gadus morhua (Atlantic cod), 266 nucleotides. RefSeq lists it as uncharacterized. The transcript has 3 exons. The record is from RefSeq and is a predicted model, not a curated record. Lineage: Eukaryota; Metazoa; Chordata; Actinopteri; Gadiformes; Gadidae.